UACGAAGGUGGCAAGCGUUGUUCGGAUUUACUGGGCGUACAGGGAGCGUAGGCGGUUGGGUAAGCCCUCCGUGAAAUCUCCGGGCCCAACCCGGAAAGUGCGGAGGGGAAUGCUCGGCUAGAGGAUGGGAGAUGAGCGCGGAAUUGCCGGUGUAGCGGUGAAAUGCGUGGAGAUCGGGAGGAUGGCCGGUGGCGAAGGCGGCGCUCUGGAACAUUUUAGAGGCUGAGGGUCAAAAGCGUGGGAAGCAAACAGG
RNAcentral lists this ribosomal RNA (253 nucleotides) under uncultured bacterium. Its description in RNAcentral is "partial 16S ribosomal RNA". It matches the Rfam family "Bacterial small subunit ribosomal RNA", at positions 524 to 776 of the family's 1533-position model. The record is from RNAcentral.